Molecule: ribosomal RNA, 222 nt
Filed under: Clostridioides difficile
Lineage: Bacteria; Bacillati; Bacillota; Clostridia; Peptostreptococcales; Peptostreptococcaceae
Description: partial 16S ribosomal RNA
Rfam family: Bacterial small subunit ribosomal RNA
Source: RNAcentral
UAACACAUGCAAGUUGAGCGAUUUACUUCGGUAAAGAGCGGCGGACGGGUGAGUAACGCGUGGGUAACCUACCCUGUACACACGGAUAACAUACUGAAAGGUAUGCUAAUACGGGAUAAUAUAUUUGGGAGGCAUCUCUUGAAUAUCAAAGGUGAGCCAGUACAGGAUGGACCCGCGUCUGAUUAGCUAGUUGGUAAGGUAACGGCUUACCAAGGCGACGAU